GGAAAAUAAGCAUUAAAUCAUUUAAUUAAACAAAGGAAACUUACCUGUAAAAAAAGUUAAUUGAAAUCAGGAUGGAAAUGCAACCCAACAAAAAACAGAGAGACGAAUUCAAUUCCCUCUUCGCCUUUCCUGUUUUCACUCCCUAUCAAACCCACCCCUCUUGUCUCUUCCCUCUCUGUGUAGACUUGAGAAUUAAUUGGAUGUAAGGAUAUAUUUAAUCAAUCACACGAAACCCAUAUUGGAUUUUCUCCUUUUGAUAAUCAUGGCCUAAUGGGAUUCUCUUUUUGAGCGAAUCGAACACACAUACGGAGAAAAAGAAGAGAAUCCCCGGAAAAUUGCCAACCAUGGAAGAUUCAAGUGAAGUGCACUCUGAAGAAAAUGGAGUAUCUCCAGAAAAGAAUACCAAAAGGAUACUCAAGACGCCAGCCCAGAUUAUGGCUUUGGAGAAAUUUUAUAAUGAGCACAAUUAUCCCACAGAGGAAAUGAAAUCAGAACUUGCAAAGCAGAUAAGGUUGACAGAAAAACAAAUAUCUAGUUGGUUCUGCCACAGAAGGUUGAAAGACAAAAGAUUGUCAAAGGAUGAAGCAUUU
This 590-nucleotide unclassified non-coding RNA is filed under the name Hevea brasiliensis (rubber tree). The record is from RNAcentral. Lineage: Eukaryota; Viridiplantae; Streptophyta; Magnoliopsida; Malpighiales; Euphorbiaceae.